Molecule: ribosomal RNA, 253 nt
Filed under: uncultured Acinetobacter sp.
Lineage: Bacteria; Pseudomonadati; Pseudomonadota; Gammaproteobacteria; Moraxellales; Moraxellaceae
Description: partial 16S ribosomal RNA
Rfam family: Bacterial small subunit ribosomal RNA
Source: RNAcentral
UACAGAGGGUGCGAGCGUUAAUCGGAUUUACUGGGCGUAAAGCGUGCGUAGGCGGCUUUUUAAUUCGGAUGUGAAAUCCCUGAGCUUAACUUAGGAAUUGCAUUCGAUACUGGAAAGCUAGAGUAUGGGAGAGGAUGGUAGAAUUCCAGGUGUAGCGGUGAAAUGCGUAGAUAUUGGGAAGAACACCGGUGGCGAAGGCGGCUUUCUGGACUGUAACUGACACUGAGGCACGAAAGCGUGGGGAGCAAACAGG